GCGGGUAUGGUUUAAUGGUAAAACAUCUGCCUUCCAAGCAGAUGACGCGGGUUCAAUUCCCACUAUCCGCUCCA
This 74-nucleotide transfer RNA is filed under the name Candidatus Limimonas egerieequi. RNAcentral describes it as "tRNA-Gly". It matches the Rfam family "tRNA". Rfam says of the family: Transfer RNA (tRNA) molecules are approximately 80 nucleotides in length. Their secondary structure includes four short double-helical elements and three loops (D, anti-codon, and T loops). Lineage: Bacteria; Bacillati; Bacillota; Clostridia; Eubacteriales; Acutalibacteraceae. The record is from RNAcentral.